Small nucleolar RNA from Fukomys damarensis (Damara mole-rat), 80 nucleotides. Its record names the gene SNORD115. It matches the Rfam family "Small nucleolar RNA SNORD115". Rfam says of the family: HBII-52 is a member of the C/D class of snoRNAs, which contain the C (UGAUGA) and D (CUGA) box motifs. HBII-52 is encoded in a tandemly repeated array with another C/D snoRNA, HBII-85, in the Prader-Willi syndrome (PWS) region of chromosome 15. HBII-52 is exclusively expressed in the brain but is absent in PWS patients. The record is from Ensembl. Lineage: Eukaryota; Metazoa; Chordata; Mammalia; Rodentia; Bathyergidae.
GGGUUGAUGAUGACACCUUCAUUGGGCUGAAGAGAGGCGAUGACUUAAAAAUCACGCUCAAUAGGAUUAGGCUGAGGCCC